AGUGAACGCUGGCGGUAUGCCUAACACAUGCAAGUCGAACGACCACACAAUAAGAUCUUUCUCUUACGGUUGGCGGCGGACGGACGGGUGAGGAAUACAUAAGAUACAACUAUUUCUGGGGUGAUAUCGGGGAGAAGGUGACGCUAAUAGCUAAUACAACCAACGGGUGAAAUCAGUAGUGCUUGGGAGCUUUCCCGAUACAUAGAGACGACGUCGGAUUAGCUAGUUGGGGUGGUAAAGGCCCACCAAGGCAACGAUCCGUAGCUGACCUGAGAGGAUGAUCGGCCACACUGGAACUGAGACACGGUCCAGACUCCUACGGGAGGCAGCAGUAGGGAAUCUUGGACAAUGGGCGCAAGCUUGACGCAGCCACGCCGCGUGAGUGAAGAAGGUCUUCGGGUUGUAAAGCUCUUUUGUUGGGAAAGAAAAACAGCAGAUUAAUCCAUCGACGUCCUGACGGUACCUAAACAGUAAGCCACGGCUAACUUCGUG
This 492-nucleotide ribosomal RNA is filed under the name uncultured bacterium. Its description in RNAcentral is "partial 16S ribosomal RNA". It matches the Rfam family "Bacterial small subunit ribosomal RNA", at positions 29 to 507 of the family's 1533-position model. The record is from RNAcentral.